This 442-nucleotide ribosomal RNA is filed under the name uncultured bacterium. RNAcentral describes it as "partial 16S ribosomal RNA". It matches the Rfam family "Bacterial small subunit ribosomal RNA", at positions 338 to 795 of the family's 1533-position model. The record is from RNAcentral.
CCUACGGGGGGCAGCAGUGGGGAAUAUUGGUCAAUGGGCGCAAGCCUGACCCAGCAACGCCGCGUGAAGGAAGACGGCUCUCGGGUUGUAAACUUCUUUUUACAGGGAAGAGUAGAAGACGGUACCUGUCGAAUAAGCCACGGCUAACUACGUGCCAGCAGCCGCGGUAAUACGUAGGUGGCAAGCGUUGUCCGGAUUUACUGGGUGUAAAGGGCGUGUAGCCGGGUUGACAAGUCAGAUGUGAAAUCCUGCGGCUUAACCGCAGAACUGCAUUUGAUACUGUUGAUCUUGAGUACAGGAGAGGCAGACGGAAUGCGUGGUGUAGCGGUGAAAUGCGUAGAUAUUAGGAGGAACACCGAUGGCGAAGGCAGUCUGCUAGACAGCAACUGACGGUGAGGCGCGAAAGCGUGGGGAGCAAACAGGAUUAGAUACCCUUGUAGUC